RNAcentral lists this long non-coding RNA (775 nucleotides) under Nicotiana benthamiana. RNAcentral describes it as "long non-coding RNA (NBEN_LNC042120)". Lineage: Eukaryota; Viridiplantae; Streptophyta; Magnoliopsida; Solanales; Solanaceae. The record is from RNAcentral.
AGGCCGUACGAACCUAAAAACCUCGCCCCACUUCUUUUCCUUUGCCACUUUAUCAUACCCUCCAAGCCGCUUGACGGAAUUAAACAACUUACACAAAUUAAGCUCCUCCCCCUCAAACACAACACGUUUCUUCGCCGUCUUCUUCCCGCAAUGCUCCUCUAGGAACCUAUAGUACUCUAAUUCAAAGGUCUUCGGAUCACAAGACGCACACCGAGCCUGUAACUGAUGAAUCGCUUGCGUUUUGGUCGGAAAUGUGAAGGCAUUCAAAUCUAAUGCAAAAGGGGGUUUCCAACUCUUGGGUGGGAUGAUUUUACAAAUGCCAUAUUUCUCAGCCUCUGGCCUGAUCUUGUAAAUAAACUCUAAAGGGUCCUUAAAUUCAUCCUCAGUUGGAUAAUACACUGGCCCUGGUGGUAUAUUCAAUAACCCAAUUGGGGAUGCACUUGUAUUUUGCCCUAAUUCUACAGCCCUAGGCCUUCCUCUCCCAUUAUUAUUGCAACUUUAUCACCAAGAUAAUCAAUACCCAAUUAGAUGGUAUAGUCAAUAACCCAAUUGGGGAUGCACUUGUAUUUUGCCCUAAUUCUACAGCCCUAGGCCUCCCUCUCCCCAUUAUUAUGCAAGUACUAACUAUAUCAUCAAGAUAAUCAAUACCCAAUUACAAAAUCUGCAUGCAAGAUUCAUAUAAACAUUCAAAAUAUGUCUCAAAUCACUAUAAAUUCAAGAAUCUUGAAAUUUAAUGGAACAUUUUAACUAUUAAAAAUGAAAUCUUUAACGUACC